AAUUGAUGUAAGUAUGGAGAAAAUGAUUUCUUUUAUAAAGUCAUUGUUUAUUUAUUAGACAAAAUUGAAGUAUGAAGAAAAUGGUUUCUUUUAUAAAUUUGUUGUUUAAGAUGCUCAGUUUAUCAGUUUUAGUACUUACCGAUGGCCAAACUUUCAAGUCAAAGGAAUUUCAUUUAGCAUCCAGGAGUGCCAAGGAACUGGGCAACAGACUCUGCUGCAAACUCCUUAGGUAGUUCUGAUGGAAGCCAAACUGAAAGCGAAGAAAAGUACCAGCAACCUCAUAGGAGAGAGCAAUAGGUGGCUAGCCACUUUAGAGCGUCAGUGCAAAUCAGUUGUCUUAGUGGUAGGACUGCUACUCCUAUCUAGAUUCUCUGGAAUACUAACCCUGUGACUCACCUUGGAAUUUAUGAUGUAGAGGUAAUUGUAGGUUCUCAAGUCUCACUAGUGCCUUAACAGGUGUAAACGCCCCAAGUGACCUUUGGCUCUAGGGGCAAUAGUCACAGAGGAACUAACAUAUCUAUAAUGCAUGUACCUCAGCCAAUCACACCAGUGUCCUAAGUACUAGCACCUGUGGUCCAGGUUCCUAAUAUCAUAGCUCUAAUUCAUAAGACCCUGGGCAAUACUAUAAUCCCAUAGGUAACAGAGGAAAAUUUGGUCUUCAAGUUUCACAGCUUCUAAUGAUCAGUUGCUCCGGCUGAAGAAGACAAACUUGACUUCCUAGAGUAUUAAAGAACUCGAGAAGCACCAGUCCAAAAUUCCCCCAGAGCAGUAUAAGAGGAAUCAAUAUUUCUAUAGUUUAGAUUCCUUUUAUGAAUGUUAUAGUUGCUCUAAUUCUUAAGGUAGUGAUUCUAAUGAUGUAGUUCUAUAAGUCUAAAG
RNAcentral lists this unclassified non-coding RNA (876 nucleotides) under Hevea brasiliensis (rubber tree). Lineage: Eukaryota; Viridiplantae; Streptophyta; Magnoliopsida; Malpighiales; Euphorbiaceae. The record is from RNAcentral.